Molecule: ribosomal RNA, 430 nt
Filed under: Actinomyces israelii
Lineage: Bacteria; Bacillati; Actinomycetota; Actinomycetes; Actinomycetales; Actinomycetaceae
Description: bacterial SSU rRNA
Rfam family: Bacterial small subunit ribosomal RNA
Source: RNAcentral
GACGAACGCUGGCGGCGUGCUUAACACAUGCAAGUCGAACGGGUCUGCCUUGUUUUUUGCGGGGUGGGUCAGUGGCGAACGGGUGAGUAACACGUGAGUAACCUGCCCCUCACUUCUGGAUAACCGCUUGAAAGGGUGGCUAAUACGGGGUGUUCUGGCUGUGCCGCAUGGUGUGGCUGGGAAAGAUUCACUUUUGUGGUGUUUUGGUGGGGGAUGGGCUCGCGGCCUAUCAGCUUGUUGGUGGGGUGAUGGCCUGCCAAGGCUUUGACGGGUAGCCGGCCUGAGAGGGUGGGCGGUCACACUGGGACUGAGAUACGGCCCAGACUCCUGCGGGAGGCAGCAGUGGGGGGUAUUGCACAAUGGGCGGAAGCCCUGAUGCAGCGACGUCGCGUGAGGGAUGGAAGCCUUCCGGGUUGUGAACCUCUUUCGC